Molecule: long non-coding RNA, 1052 nt
Organism: Pezoporus flaviventris
Lineage: Eukaryota; Metazoa; Chordata; Aves; Psittaciformes; Psittacidae
Exons: 3
Source: RefSeq, a predicted model, not a curated record
AAGGCAGGACCACCUAGAGCAGGUGACACAGGAACAUGUCCAGGCGGGCUUGGGAUGGCUCCAGAGAGGGAGACUCCACAACCCCUUGGGCAGCCUGUUCAGUGCUCUGCCACCCUCAGCGUAAAGAAGUUCUUCCUCAUGUUGAUGUGAAACUCCUCAUGGUUUAGUUCAUGGCCACUCUUCCUCGUCCUGCACAAUGCCAACAUUUCAUAACUGCAGUGGUUGCAGUUUUCUGGAAUGGUGGCUUCUUGCCAUCACAGACAAGGCUGCUCACUGGGGUGGGGAGGAUAAAUACUACACUAAUGUACUGAAACAAUGCAUCUGAAUGCUGAGCUCCAAGAGUAAAUUACUUCUCUUUUCCUGGUGUCUAAGCCUUUCCUCUUCAGGCAUGUUGUUUUUGCAGGGAUGUAAGCAUACAGGGCUGAGUACAAUAGGAGCGCUGUGUCAGAUAAAGAGGUUUUCCCUCUGGAAGAGCUUGCAGUUUAGGAGCACAAGCUGGAACUGCACAGGACAACACUGAAUAAACAAUGCUGAAAUGGCAUGGAUUGGUCAGCCUCAGGAGGGAAAAAAGGACAGUCUUGUCAUUUCUGUGUGAGUUUAGAAAUUACAGGGCUCCUGUAAAAGAAUCCACAGAUCUGUUUAGGGAUCUAAUUUUCCCACAUGCUGUAUAAGGAGUUUUGCUACCUUGCCAGCAGGAGCCAGCAUCCUGGAUGCAGAACCAUCUUGAAGGAAAAAUCAGGAGAACCCCAGGGAGAAGAUGAUCAUCUGUUGUAAAAAAGUCACACCUUUUCUAACAGGAACACUAGAAGCAGAAGCACUAAUCUGGAAUCAUGGCAGCAUGUUAUAAACAAGAGCAGCCAGGGGGCAACCAAUGCACAAAUCUUUGCUUCACAAAAAAACUACAGGAAAGGUACAAUUGGUAUCAACCAAGAGAAUAAAAGCUGCAUGGAAAGAAACUAGUGAUGGGUGUAAGAAAUGCUGAUGCAUUGAAGAUGUCUUUGCUCUCGUUCAUUCUCUGUGAACACUUCCUUCCACAUACUUGGCCAUCAACU